Molecule: ribosomal RNA, 465 nt
Filed under: uncultured bacterium
Lineage: Bacteria
Description: partial 16S ribosomal RNA
Rfam family: Bacterial small subunit ribosomal RNA
Source: RNAcentral
GACGAACGCUGGCGGCGUGCUUAACACAUGCAAGUCGAACGGAAAGGCCCUGCUUGCAGGGUACUCGAGUGGCGAACGGGUGAGUAACACGUGGGUGAUCUGCCCUGCACUUCGGGAUAAGCCUGGGAAACUGGGUCUAAUACCGGAUAGGAGCCAUUUUGAGUGUGAUGGUUGGAAAGUUUUUUCGGUGUAGGAUGAGCUCGCGGCCUAUCAGCUUGUUGGUGGGGUAAUGGCCUACCAAGGCGGCGACGGGUAGCCGGCCUGAGAGGGUGGACGGCCACAUUGGGACUGAGAUACGGCCCAGACUCCUACGGGAGGCAGAAGUGGGGAAUAUUGCACAAGGGGCGCAAGCCUGAUGCAGCGACGCCGCGUGGGGGAUGACGGCCUUCGGGUUGUAAACUCCUUUCGCUAGGGACGAAGCUUUUUGUGACGGUACCUAGAUAAGAAGCACCGGCUAACUACGUG